This 238-nucleotide ribosomal RNA is filed under the name uncultured bacterium. RNAcentral's name for it is "partial 16S ribosomal RNA". It matches the Rfam family "Bacterial small subunit ribosomal RNA", at positions 15 to 244 of the family's 1533-position model. The record is from RNAcentral.
GAUCCUGGCUCAGGAUGAACGCUAGCUACAGGCUUAACACAUGCAAGUCGAGGGGCGGCAUGGUCUUAGCUUGCUAAGACCGAUGGCGACCGGCGCACGGGUGAGUAACGCGUAUCCAACCUGCCUUACACUCUUGGACAGCCUUCUGAAAGGGAGAUUAAUACAAGAUGUUAUCAUGAGUAAGCAUUUUCGCAUGAUUAAAGGUUUACCGGUGUAAGAUGGGGAUGCGUUCCAUUAG